UUUUUUUUUUUUUUUCCUUUUAGGGCCACACCUGCAGCAUAUGGAAGUUUCCAGACUAGCAGUCGAAUCGAGCUGCAGCUGUCGGUCUACGCCACAGCCACGCCAGAUCUGAACUGCAUUUGAGAUCUACACCGAAGCUCAUGGCAAGGCUGGAUCCUUAACCCACUGAGCAAGGCCAGGGAAUCAAACCUGCAUCCUCGUGGAUACGAGUUGGGUUCUCUACCAGUGAGCCACAACGGGAGCUCCCUGCUGAAUUCUUCUGAGAAUCCCAUUCUGGGAGCUGAAGGCUCAGUUGGUGGAAUUCAGUUAGAGCCGCCCUCGCACAUUCUUACAGCUGGUUAAGGGGGCGUGUGCCCUGAGGCCAGAAUGAAGAUUGGGGAAGGAGAAGUUAUAGGGGCCUUGCCUUUUAAUGCAAGAGACAGCGGCCUUCACGUUAUCCUACAAGGGUCCAGGGACCAUCAAAGGUUAUGCACCCAGGGUUUACACGUCCCAGGUUGCGAGAAAAACAACAACCAAAAACUCCUGCAACAACAUAGAGUUGGCUUUGGAAGGUGUACCCCUCAAGGCAGGUGGCCCCCAAGAUCCAAGCUCUAGUCCAGGCAGUGAGAAGGAGGAGCAGGUGCCCAGCCAUCUGGAGUCAUAGCAUUUCCGGUGGGGAGCCACCAGAAUAGAACAGGAGGAGGAGAAGGACGCGUUCAGGCUUUGGGCUCUAGAGCAGACUUAGGAGCUGCAAGAACGUCACAUAGGAGAGAGGUGACCAGGGAUAAGACCCGGGCCGUAACCAAGAGGGGGCCUCGGAUGUGAACCGACCGCCGAGAGAGAAGUUAGGCCGGGGGCUGAAGGUACUGUCACUCACCAUGUCAAGAAGCUUGUUAAUGACCUUCCGCUCUAGAGAUUCCCCAGGGACUUCAGACUCCUGUUGUCCACCAAUUGGGACAACACUCAAGUAGCAAAGGUGGAAUCUGCAUGAAAAUGCAGAUGGUGAUUCAUCCCAUGCUCUUAGCUCUCUCCACUCAGGUGUUUCUUUUGUAUCAGUGCAGACAGAUUAGCGGGGGCCUCCCAGAAAUCAGGUUCCCAAAUCUACUUCCCACUUAGAAAGUACGAGGGGUCUGCUGCCUUGCCACCGCUUCGUGUAUUUCAGCAAAUAUAAAAACUAGUCUGCAGGCUCAGGGGAGAUCCAUUUACAGCUUCUCAAAGGGGUUUGUAAAUUCCUGUGAGAGAGACAUCAAUAUGGCCAUGUAGUAAUUCUUAAAUGGAUGAGUGCCUUUUAAUUAUCAUAAUAAACAUCUUUGAAGUAACAGUCUUCCUAUAAAAAGUAAAUACACCCAUGCCUAUUGCAAAAUAGUGAUUUCUGCAUAUGGAUCUAAGUAAAUAAAUUGUUAUCAUCAUAUUUUAUAUGCUAGUCUAACCAUGCAGAGCCUGCAGAAGCCCUGAUACUAUUGUUUCAGCAAUUUUCUUAGUUUCCUUUUAUUCCUUAUGAAGCUAGCAUUCCACGCCUUGAAGGACAAAGGAGGGCUGCUUAAAACAUCUGUCUGACCUCAUGCGGCCCUACUGAAUCAGAGUCUUAGGGGCAGAGGGGUUGGGCGUCGCUAUUUUUAAUUCACCCUCUUGAAUAAUUUCCAUUUACCCAAAUGCUUGAGAAUAUUGGCUUUUAGAGGUUAAAAGAUGGCCUGUGAACAUAAAGUAGUAAUGUCACAGCUCCUGUAUGGUCCGCCACCAUUCCGGAAAGAUUCAUAUUCAUGACUUUACCCCCAAUCUAAGUCGCUCCCUGUGUGGGCUCCCAAGAAGCUCUCAAAUCCCCAGAUGCCACCCUAUCAACACAUCGGCUGCAGGCUGGGUUCUCCCUGGCCUCCCUGGGGAAGUCCUCAGUCCUGGACCCCCCCUUCUAGGUUGAGUGCUGCCCUGACUCUCUGUGUCUCUACAGGACCCACCCCUCAGACACUGAACCCACAAAGCUGGUCCAACCAGCUCUCAGCUACUCUCUAAAAAAACAGUUAUUUGCAAAUAUUCUCCCUGCCAAGCUGAGCUCCCUGCUUUAGAUGAGCGAAAGGCACUGGAUAUCAGAAUGAAUAAUGAAGAGGAAUGAAUAAGUGACUUGGAAAAUAGAACAAUGGAAAUCACCCACCUAAAAGAAAGCAAUACUGUGCAGGCAUUUUGGUAUUUCCAGGCACAAAUCUCACAUCAUGUUUAUCCUCUCUUUAAUUUUAUGUGAAGUUUCUCAUCAUUAUCUGGCAAAGGGUAGGAAGAAACUGGAAGGUCAGAACUAAUCACAACUUUCUCACUCCUAAAUGGUUAGGAAAGGAGCCAGUGCCCUAGUGGGACACUCAUAGAUAUAAGUUUGUCCUGAAUCCUACAACUGGCAUGUAUACAUUAUGCAGGUGCAAACUUCCUCCUUGAUCACCAAUGUAAAGUGUAUUUGGAAAAGUUCUCUCUGCAGCUUCCCAAGCUCCAGGCUGACCAUUGGUCUCCAGGGCAGCUGGGGAGCUAGAACUACUGCAGGCGCCCUCCUUUCAUAUCCAUCUGGCUACAUGUGCAGUAUUCCUGCCACAGAUCUGGAGUGGUUUAAUGAAACCCUCCACAACAGUUUACCAUAUCUUCAUAUGCAGUUGAAAAUCAAUUCGUAUCCAGAUCAAGAUGGCAGAGGAGUAGGAUGUUGAUCUCACUUUCUCACACAAACACAUUAAAAAAAAAAUCUACAUGUAAAAUAAUUCUCACAGAACAUCUACUGAGUGCUGGCAGAAGACCUCAGACUUCAACAAAGGGCAAGAAAACUUCCAGAUAACUGGGUAGAAUGGAAGGGAAAAUGAGAGAGAGAAAAGAGUGCAUCGGGGGAAGGAAUCAAGAUAGGACUAGCACACUGGAGAGGGAGUUGUGAAAGAGGAAGUGAAUCUGCCCCCUGGGAGGCCACUUAACUGGUGAGGAGAUGAGCCAGCACAGAGGGGUAGCCCUAACACCUUAAAGAAAAAUGCAGCAGCUGGUUGGAGGUGGGCAAAGCAGAGAGAGAGAGCCAUACAGACAUAUCAGUUCCAAUGCCUGGCACAACAGAGCCUGAGAUAAUUGGGUGGGGGCAAGGCACUGAGUCUCAGGCUUCAGAGUAAGAAAAAUAUAAGAAAAUGAAGAAGCACAGGAACAAUACUGAGUUAAAAGAACAGAAGAAUUUCCCUGUGGGAGCAAACUUUGAAAUAGACCCCUGCAGUCUAACAGACACUGAGUUCAAAAGGAGAUAAUGAAAUACUGAAGGAAUUAAGAGUGGUUAUCAACAGUAACACAGAUUACUUUUAAAGGAGACUAGAAAUUAUAAAGAGCCAAGAAAAAUUAGAAAAUUCAUUUGCCAAGAUGAAAGCUGAGCUAAAGGCACUGAAUAUCAGAGUGAAUAAUGAAGAGGAAUGAAUAAGUGACUUGGAAAGUAGUACAAUGGAAAUCACCCACCUAAAAGAAAGCAAUAUGAGAUCUAUGGAAUAAUAUAAAGCAUGCAAAUCUAUGCAUAAUAGGGAUCCCAGAAGGAGAGGAAAGAGAAAAGAGGAUUGAAAAAAUAUUUGAAAAUUAUGUCUGAAAAGUUUCCAGAUCUAAAAAAGUAAGAGAGGAGUUCCCAUCAUCAUCAGUGGAAACAAACCCAACUAGUAGCCAUGAGGACUCAGGUUAAAUCCCUGGCCUUGCUCAGUGGGUUAAGGAUCUGGUGUUGCCAUGAGCCGUACUGUGGGUCACAGACACAACGCAGACCUGGCUUUGCUUUGGCUAUAGCGUAGAUUGGCAACUGUGGCUCCAAUUUGACCUGGGAACUUUCAUACGCCAGAAGUGUGGCCCUAAAAAGACACAAAUAAAAAUAAAAAAUAAAAAAGGAAAGAUAUAUCCAGAUACAGGACACACAGAGGGUUACCAAUAAGAUCAUCCCAAAGGGAUCUACACCAAGACAUAUUAUAAUAAAAAUGGCAAAAGUAAAGUAAGGAGAGGGUUCUAAAGGCAGUGAUAGAAAAGCAAAGAGCUAAUUACAUAGGAACCACCGUAAGAUUAUCAGCUGAUUUCUCUACAGAAACACCACAGACCAGAAAAGAGUGGCAAGAUACAUAAAAUGUUCUAAAAGGAAAAAAAUUUGCAACCUAGAAUACUCUACCCAGUAAGAUUAUCAUUUAAAAUAGAAGGAGAAAUGAAUUUCUCAGGCAUGCAAAAACUAAAAGAAUACAGCAACACUAAACCUACCCUAAAAGAAAUAUUGACAGAUUUCCUCUAAAUAGGAAAGAAGUUAGAUGAUAUAGGAUGGAGGAAAUAAAAAUUAGAAAGUAAUCACUUAAAUAAGACAAUAUACAAGUCAAAAAGAAACAACAACAAACCUAUAUGUGAAAAUGAUGAUAAACAUAAGGAACAGCAAAAUAAUAGACGUGAAGUUGUAAAAAAGGGCAUCAAUAUCAUAAAAUAUAGGGGAAAAGAGUAAGAAAUCUAUAUAUAUAUUUUUUUAAGAAUAGGUCUGCAUCUAUAUGACUACCAGUCUAAAGCAUGCAGAUAUAGGAAGGGGUUAACAUACUUGAAAGCAGGUUAGAUACAUUUAGUCAAAUCAAAAAUAAACAACAGAUCCUGAAAACCUGAAAAUAAGAGGACACAAGCAUAACAUAAAAGGAAAUCAUAAAAUAAAAAAGAAAGAUAAAGGAACAAAGGAGAAACAUGGAAUCAACUGGAAAAUAAGGUUUAAAAUGGCAAUAAAUUCAUAUCUAUCAAUAAUUAUGUUAAAUGUCAAUGGACCAAAUACUCCUAUCAAAAGAAUGGAAGAUUGGAUAAAAAAACAGGAGCCUACAAUAUGCUGCCUACAAGAGACCCAAGGAACACACAUACAUUGAAAAUUAGGGAAUGGAUAGAGAUAUUUCAUGCAAAUGGAAAUGAUAAAAAAGCAGGAGUCACAAUACUCAUAUCUGACAAAAUAGACUUUAAAGCAAAGGCCAUAGAGAAAGAUAAAGACUGACCCUAGUUAACGAUGGAGAAAUCAAUUCAAGAAGAGGAUAA
Molecule: long non-coding RNA, 4992 nt
Filed under: Sus scrofa (pig)
Lineage: Eukaryota; Metazoa; Chordata; Mammalia; Artiodactyla; Suidae
Description: lncRNA (ENSSSCG00025012134.1)
Source: RNAcentral